Molecule: long non-coding RNA, 1126 nt
Filed under: Equus asinus (donkey)
Lineage: Eukaryota; Metazoa; Chordata; Mammalia; Perissodactyla; Equidae
Description: lncRNA (ENSEASG00005035744.1)
Source: RNAcentral
CGAGCAACGUUCGGAAUAAUUUAAGAUGGACAGGCAGUAACGGCACCAUGACUUCAUGUCGAAGGAGACAUUCCUCCUUUGGUUAUUUGUCCCCUCUGCCAGCUGGUAAUGGAAUAAUGGAAAAACAAUUGCAUUGGUUUUUUUAGCCAGCGUCUAUUGCCAACCAAACUUCCUGGAAGCUGUGUGCUCCCUGAGUGAGUCAGCAAAUGCUUGCUCAGAUGAUACGAGGCUCUUUGAAAGAACUAUUUGUGAAACAACCAAUUGUCGAAGAGCGGUUGAAAAUCUUAUUCCUUAAGAAGUUCUCCCAUUUCAACACUUGUUGGUGUAAAACUCGCAGGCCCAUGGAGCUGUUCUCCGACUGUAUCAAAUGACCAACAGUCUGAGAAUGAGGCGGAUCAGAUGCAGAACAACGAGAGAGGGGAAGUGCUUGAUGUCGCUGCUCCAGAGCAGGAUGUCUGACGGUGGGGACGUGAGAGUACUGGGCUAAGAAGUAAGAAUGCAAUAGAGAAAUCGAUUCACUGUGGCUUUGUGUGCAUGUGCUGGCGUGUGCAUUAAAAGCAAAGGAAAUGAUCUGUGAAGUGAUUAAAAUGAGUCUGUCAGCAGAUGGUUCUACCUUACCGAGUUCGUCGUAUCUGUACUUGCAUCAAUACUUGAUAAUUACCCACGAAUGUCUAGCUAAAUGGAAACCUUUUGGAAUUGGCUGUCAUUGAGCUGAACCAGCCCACACCAAGGACUGAGACCUUUUGGAAAUCACCCCAGCCUUCUCUUGUCUGUCCCACGCUGACAGGACAUCUCCCCACCUAUCGGGAGAGUAGGCUGUCAGAAAACUCCGUGAGAUUCCACCGGCCCCCCUUUCCAACGCUCCCCCGCCGCCCCCACCACCCCCCGCCCCAGCAGUCGGGCUGCUCGUCUGGAAGUGGCGGACUCCUUCACGCAAAUGUUUUCUCCACAUGGAACGUAGCAACAACUUUGGCAAUUCUCCCCUGGAACGGAGGGUUUUUUUCAAGUCUUGUCGGCUGCCUCAGGCACAGUUCUGAUCCUGAGACCCCAAGAGACUGUCUGAGGCUGCAGCCGGAAACAGGACUUCAAGCAGUGGCCCUUCUCUCAGAUCUCAGCACAUCGGGAA